AGGAGCCGUCAUUCUUACGGGGCCGGCAAAAGGAGAAAUUGCAUUUAUUCCAAGAAUUCCCGUGAUUCCGUCGGACUUGCCGUUUCCGUUCAAACGGCUUUAAUUCUCUGUUAAAGUUUCUUUGGCAAUCACGAUAAACAAAGCUCAAGGUCAAACAUACAGGUACGUUGGCGUAGGUCUUCGAACACAGUGCUUUUCACAUGGACAAUUAUACGUGGGAUUUUCUCGAACUGGGGACCCGAAGCAUCUUAUGAUUUUAAUUUCAACAGGAGAUAAAACAAAAAACGCCAUAUACUCAGAAGUUUUAUAAAAUUUUUUAUCAACCGUAAAUUACUCAGCAUUUCUUUUGUAUCUGCAUUCAUUUUUAGUAAAAAUAUAUUUGUCAUUAAUCCCGCUUGAAACAUUUCAAUACGUUUUCAUUAACCGUUUUUUUUUUUUUUUAUAUUAAUUUGCCGAUAUUAUUAAACGAUAGAAUUUGAUUAAAAAGUUCUAUAUAUCAUUAUCCAAAGGCAAAUUAAACAACCAAUCACGGGUGAAGCCGUGACGGGUCGGCUAGUAUAUAAUAUAAAAUUAUAACUCAAGUUGCUUGUGUACUUCACAAUUUAAUCAUGGAUAACGAACAUAAUUUAACUGAUAUUCAUAAUGAAAUGGAAACAAUCUUUUCGCAGUUAUACCAAGAAGAUGUCAAUAAAUCUACAAAUCACAGAUCGUUAAGAAGACAUCAAUAUCCAUGUUUUCAUGGAUAUUGAAAAGUUUAUGAAAUAUUUCAACUCAGAAAUAGGAUCAGUUCCAUGGCAAAAUGUAUACAUUGUUAAUUAAAGCUAAAUCCGGUUUAUUAUCAUAUAAUAAAUACUACUACGGAACAGAGUAAUAAACAUUUAUCAAUAA
This is a non-coding RNA of Cinara cedri, 888 nucleotides long. NCBI's taxonomy places the organism in Eukaryota, Metazoa, Arthropoda, Insecta, Hemiptera, Aphididae. The record is from the annotation of a GenBank genome assembly.